Non-coding RNA from Gongronella butleri, 95 nucleotides. The record is from the annotation of a GenBank genome assembly. Lineage: Eukaryota; Fungi; Mucoromycota; Mucoromycetes; Mucorales; Cunninghamellaceae.
GCUCUUGUGGCGCAAUUGGCUAGCGCGUUCGACUGUUAAAUCAUCAUAACAGACGGUUUAUCGAGAGGUUGGUGGUUCGAGCCCACCCAGGAGCG